CCGAUGCUACAACCGCACAGAACAGGUUUAAUAAAACCGUUUCCGGUACCUGAAUGGCGAGUCUGAGUAAAUCG
This is a regulatory RNA element of Halobacillus halophilus DSM 2266, 74 nucleotides long. The record is from Rfam. Lineage: Bacteria; Bacillati; Bacillota; Bacilli; Caryophanales; Bacillaceae.